GUGACCCUUCCAAAUUGGCUGUCGUGUGCUUGCUGUAAAAUCCAUUACUGGGGAAUAUCCAGCCUGGUUUUAAGUAGGGAGAGAAGAGCUUGGAAAAGAACUUGACUGCAGUGCUCUGCAUGCAGCAGAAGCAAUCCUACCAGCCCUGUGCCAAAUGGACUCCUGUUUUUCUGAAACACACAACAGCUGGAAUGAAGUUGGAAAGGAUGUUUGGAUUCCAAAGCCUGGGAUGCCUUGCUUCUGCUACUGUACAGUGGAAGCAGCUGCGUUUUGGAGUAUGGCCUUUCUUCAGGAUGUGCCUUCCUGCCCUCUUACCACCUUGUUGCCCUCGUCUGGACACUUUCAAGGACCUUAACACCCCUUCUAUAGUGUG
Molecule: long non-coding RNA, 373 nt
Organism: Oxyura jamaicensis (ruddy duck)
Lineage: Eukaryota; Metazoa; Chordata; Aves; Anseriformes; Anatidae
Exons: 3
Source: RefSeq, a predicted model, not a curated record